UCCUAGUUUCCUAGGCAGUCCCAUCAGAGUGCCUCAAAAAUGAGUAGCAACUGAUAGCAGGGGUUGCGCUCGUUAAAGGACUUAACCCAACAUCUCACGACACGAGCUGACGACAGCCAUGCAGCACCUGUGUACAUGUCCAAGCUUUCGCUUGGAAAACCAUAUUUCUACAGCGGUCAUGCACAUGUCAAACCCAGGUAAGGUUCCUCGCGUAGUAUCGAAUUAAACCACAUGUUCCACCGCUUGUGCGGACCCCCGUCAAUUCCAUUUGAGUUUUAAUCUUGCGACCGUACUCCCCAGGCGGAUCACUUAAUGCGUUAGCUACGACACUGAUCCCGCAGAGCGGAACCAACGUCUAGUGAUCAUCGUUUACGGCGUGGACUAC
RNAcentral lists this unclassified non-coding RNA (385 nucleotides) under uncultured bacterium. Its description in RNAcentral is "contains 16S-23S intergenic spacer region". The record is from RNAcentral.